RNAcentral lists this ribosomal RNA (452 nucleotides) under Symbiodinium sp. clade A. Its description in RNAcentral is "partial Eukaryotic small subunit ribosomal RNA". It matches the Rfam family "Eukaryotic small subunit ribosomal RNA", at positions 1308 to 1805 of the family's 1831-position model. Lineage: Eukaryota; Dinophyceae; Suessiales; Symbiodiniaceae. The record is from RNAcentral.
GAACUGUCUGGUUAAUUCCGUUAACGAACGAGACCUCGGCCUGCUAAAUAGGAAACGCUGUUGACAGCCUUUACCUUCUUAGAGGGACUCUGUGUGCAACCACAAGGAAGUUUCGAGGCAAUAACAGGUCUGUGAUGCCCUUAGAUGUCCUGGGCCGCACGCGUGCUACACUGAUACGUACAACGAGAUUUGCUGCUUCGAAAACAAACUAGGCUAAUCUACAAUACGUAUCGUGCUGCGGAUAGAUCCUUGAAUUUAAGGAUCUUGAAGGAGGAAUUCCUAGUAAGCGCAGGUCAUUAGCCUGCGUUGAUUACGUCCCUGCCCUUUGUACACACCGCCCGUCGCUCCUACCGAUUUCGAGUGAUCCGGUGAAUAAUUUUGGACUGUCGAGCAAUCGCGAAUUAAAGUAAUCCUCUCACUUAGAGGAAGGAGAAGUCGUAACAAGGUUUCCG